This 492-nucleotide ribosomal RNA is filed under the name uncultured bacterium. Its description in RNAcentral is "partial 16S ribosomal RNA". It matches the Rfam family "Bacterial small subunit ribosomal RNA", at positions 29 to 507 of the family's 1533-position model. The record is from RNAcentral.
AGUGAACGCUGGCGGUAGGCCUAACACAUGCAAGUCGAACGGCAGCACAGUAAGAGCUUGCUCUUACGGGUGGCGAGUGGCGGACGGGUGAGGAAUACAUCGGAAUCUACUUUUUCGUGGGGGAUAACGUAGGGAAACUUACGCUAAUACCGCAUACGACCUACGGGUGAAAGCAGGGGAUCUUCGGACCUUGCGCGAUUGAAUGAGCCGAUGUCGGAUUAGCUAGUUGGCGGGGUAAAGGCCCACCAAGGCGACGAUCCGUAGCUGGUCUGAGAGGAUGAUCAGCCACACUGGAACUGGGACACGGUCCAGACUCCUACGGGAGGCAGCAGUGGGGAAUAUUGGACAAUGGGCGCAAGCCUGAUCCAGCCAUACCGCGUGGGUGAAGAAGGCCUUCGGGUUGUAAAGCCCUUUUGUUGGGAAAGAAGAGCAGCAGGUUAAUACCCCGCUGUUCUGACGGUACCCAAAGAAUAAGCACCGGCUAACUUCGUG